GUCCACGCCCUAAACGAUGUCAACUGGUUGUUGGGAAUUUAUUUCUCAGUAACGAAGCUAACGCGUGAAGUUGACCGCCUGGGAGUACGGCCGCAAGGUUAAACUCAAAGGAAUUGACGGGACCCGCACAAGCGGUGGAUGAUGUUCUUUAAUUCGAUGCAACGCGAAACCUUACCCACCUUUGACAUGUAUGGAAUCCUUUAGAGAUAAAGGAGUGCUCGAAAGAGAGCCAUAACACAGGUGCUGCAUGGCUGUCGU
This 258-nucleotide ribosomal RNA is filed under the name uncultured bacterium. Its description in RNAcentral is "partial 16S ribosomal RNA". It matches the Rfam family "Bacterial small subunit ribosomal RNA", at positions 793 to 1055 of the family's 1533-position model. The record is from RNAcentral.